CGUCACUGACGACUCCUCUCCAGGUCCCUGCUUCCCCUGGAUUGGCCUCGAGAGCUGCGUGAAUGCCACUAGUUUUCUAGUUCAUGGUCUCAAUUAAAGGUGGGGCAGGAGCAUCUUGGUUCCUAGCUAUUACCCAUCAAUGUCUCAGGCCCUCUCAAAAACUGGGUCCUAGGUCAGAAGGCAGCAGGGAGCCGGGAAGGACCAGAAAAAGCAGACAGGAGGAGAAGACAGGCCUGACACCUCCAAGAAAGGACCUGUAGGAAAGUCAGGAAGAAGGGAUGCUGAGACCUCAGUCUCAGGGAACGCGCGGGCAUCUUCCUGACCCAGGGCUGGAACACAGGUCUCCUGCAUUGCAGGCAGAUUCUUUACUAUUUCAACUACCAGAUGUUGCUGUGGAAGUGCUGCACUCAAUAUGCCAGCAAAUUUGGAAAACUCAGCUCUGGCCACAGGAUUGGAAAAGGUCAGUUUUCAUUCCAAUCCUAAAGAAGGGCAAUGUUAAAGAAUGUUCAAACUACCACACAAUUGCACUCAUUUUAUGUGCUAGCAAAGUAAUGCUCAAAAUUCUCCAAGUUAGGCUUUAACAGUAUAAGAACCUAGAACUUCCAGAUGUACAAGCUGGAUUUAGAAAAGGUAGAAAAACAAGAGAUCAAAUUGUGAACAUCUGUUGGAUCAUAGAAAAAGAGCAAGAGAAUUCCACAAAACAUCUACUUCUGCUUUAUUGAAUACGCUAAAGCCUUUGACUGUAUGGAUCACAACACACUGUGGGAAAUUGUUAGAGAGAUGGGAAUACAAGACCACCUGACCUGUCUCCUGAGAAACCUGUAUGCAGGUCAGGAAGCAACAGUUAGAACCAGACAUGGAACAAUGGACUGGUUCCAAAUUGGGAAAGGAGUAUAUCAAGACUGUAUAUUGUCACCUUGUUUAUUUAACCUAUAUGCAGAGUACAUCAUGCAAAAUGCUGGGCUGGAUAAAGCACAAACUAGAAUCGAGAUUUCCAGAAGAAAUAUCAAUAACCUCAGAUAUGCAGAUGACACCACCCUUAUGGCAGAAAGCAAAGAGGAACUAAAGUGUCUCUUGAUG
Dama dama (fallow deer) is the source of this 1080-nucleotide long non-coding RNA. RefSeq lists it as uncharacterized. The transcript has 3 exons. The record is from RefSeq and is a predicted model, not a curated record. Lineage: Eukaryota; Metazoa; Chordata; Mammalia; Artiodactyla; Cervidae.